UACGUAGGGGGCAAGCGUUGUCCGGAUUUAUUGGGCGUAAAGAGCGUGUAGGCGGCCAGACAGGUCCGUUGUGAAAACUCGAGGCUCAACCUCGAGACGUCGAUGGAAACCGUCUGGCUAGAGUCCGGAAGAGGAGAGUGGAAUUUCUGGUGUAGCGGUGAAAUGCGCAGAUAUCAGGAAGAACACCUAUGGCGAAGGCAGCUCUCUGGGACGGUACUGACGCUGAGACGCGAAAGCGUGGGGAGCGAACAGG
RNAcentral lists this ribosomal RNA (253 nucleotides) under uncultured bacterium. RNAcentral's name for it is "partial 16S ribosomal RNA". It matches the Rfam family "Bacterial small subunit ribosomal RNA", at positions 524 to 776 of the family's 1533-position model. The record is from RNAcentral.